GACGAACGCUGGCGGCGUGCUUAACACAUGCAAGUCGAACGGAAAGGCCUGCUUUCCCUUGUGGAUUGCGGGUACUCGAGUGGCGAACGGGUGAGUAACACGUGAGUGAUCUGCCCCCAACUUGGGUAUAAGCCUGGGAAACUGGGUCUAAUUCCCGAUAGGACUGCAGGGUGGUGCCUGUGGUGGAAAACGAUUUUCUAGUGGUUGGGGAUGAGCUCGCGGCCUAUCAGCUUGUUGGUGGGGUAAUGGCCUACCAAGGCGGCGACGGGUAGCCGGCCUGAGAGGGUGGACGGCCACAUUGGGACUGAGAUACGGCCCAUACUCCGACGAGAGGCAGCAGUUGGGAAUAUUUCACAAUGGGCGGAAGCCUGAAGCAGCGACGCCGCGUGGGGGAUGACGGCCUUCGGGUAGUAAACUCCUUUCGACCGCGAGGAAGCCACCUGGGUGGAGGGGUGGUGACGGUAGUGGUAGAAGAAGCACCGGCUAACUACGUG
RNAcentral lists this ribosomal RNA (494 nucleotides) under uncultured bacterium. RNAcentral's name for it is "partial 16S ribosomal RNA". It matches the Rfam family "Bacterial small subunit ribosomal RNA", at positions 28 to 507 of the family's 1533-position model. The record is from RNAcentral.